Molecule: long non-coding RNA, 3418 nt
Filed under: Sus scrofa (pig)
Lineage: Eukaryota; Metazoa; Chordata; Mammalia; Artiodactyla; Suidae
Description: lncRNA (ENSSSCG00015064565.1)
Source: RNAcentral
CUACAUAAUGCCUUUCAUACAUACAUACAAGGGAAACUUCCAUAAGACUGCUAGCUGACUUUUCAGGAGAAUCUUUGUAUACCAGAAGGGCAUGGCACCAUUUAAAGUGAUGAGAGGGAAAAACCUACAAUCAAGAAUAUCCUGAAGGGCUUUCAGUUAGAUUUGCUGCAAAGAGCAAAAGUUUUAUAGACAAGCAAAAGCUAAAAGAGUUCAGCAUCACAGAAUCAGCUCUCCAAGAAAUGUUUCCAAGAAUGACUUGUGUAAGUGAAAAAGAAAAAACCACAACUAGAAAUACGAAAAUAAUGAAGUGGCAAAUAUAUAGUAAACAAAGUAGAUCAGUCACUUAUAAAGCUAAUAGGAAUGUUAAAAGACAUAAGUAGUAAAAUCGUCUGUAUCCACAAUAAGGGAUACAUAAAACAAAAAGAUAUGAAAUGUAAUAUUAAAAACAUGAAAUGUGGGAGAGGGAGUAAAAAUGCAGGACUAUUAGGGUUAUUAGAAUGUCUUUAAACUUAAGAUAUCAUCAACUUAAUCUCUCUGUCACACACACACAUUGAACGUCAUGGUAGUUACAAGUAAAAAAAUCUGUAAUAGAUAUACACACACAAAAGAGAAAGGAAUUCAAACUUAACACUAAAGAUAGUCAUCAAAUCAGAAGGGUAGAGAUCAAAAGAAGAAAAGAGGGGCAGAAAAGAACUAUAGAAACAACCUGAAAGAGUUAACAAAAUGGCAGUAAGUACAUACCUAUCAGUAAUUACUUUAAAUAUAAAUGGAAUAAUUGCUCCAAUCAAAAGACAUAGAGUGGCCAAAUAGAUUAAAAACAAAACAACAAAGAUCUAUCUAUCUAUCUAUCUAUCUAUCUAUCUCUUGCCUACAAGAUAACUCACUUUACUUCUGAAGACAUACACAGACUGAAAGUGAGGGGAUGAAGAAAGAUUUUAUGGAAAUGGAAACAACAAAAUCAGUAAACUUUAUUUAUUUAUUUAUUUUUGUCUGUUUUUGCCUUUUUUAGGGCUGCUCCCACCGCAUAUGGAGAUUCACAGGCUAGGGGUCUAAUCAGCGCUGUAGCCACUGGCCUAUGCCAGAGCCACAGCAACACGGGUUCUGAGCUGCAUCUGUGACCUACACCACAGCUCAUGGCAAUGCCGGAUCCUUAAUCCACUGAGCGAGGCCAGAGAUCGAACCUGCAACCUCAUGGUUCCUAGUCGGAUUUGUUAACCACUGCGCCAUGAUGGGAACUCCGCAGACACAAUAGACUUUAAAACAGAGAUUAACAAGAGAUGAGGGGCAUUGUAUAAUGAUAAAGGGAUCAAUCCAGCAAAGAUACAGCACUUGUAAAUAUAUAUGCACCUAACCAAGGAGCACUUAUAUACAUAAAGCAAAUCUUAACAGAUAUAAAGGGAGAAAGUAAUACAGUAAUAGUAGGGGACCUUAAUAUAUCACAUCAAUGGACAGAUCAGACAAGCAGUAAGGAAAAACUGGCCUUAAAUGACACAGCAGAUCAUAUUAAUUCAAUCAAUAUAUAUAUAUAGAAAACAUUCCAUCCCAAAUUAGCAAAAUACACAUUUUGAAAUGCACAUGGAACAUUCUUCAGGAUAGAUCACACUCUAGGUCUUAAUAAAUUUAAAAAGAUGAAAAUCAUAUCAAGCAUCUUUUCCAACAACAAUAUGAGAUUAGAAAUCACCUAUAAGAAAAAAAUUGCAAAUAACACAUGGAGGCUACGUAGUAUGUUACUAAAUAACCAAAGUGUGACUAAAGAAAUCAAAGAGGGAAUUAAAUACCUGGAGGCAAAUGAAAAUGGAAGCACAACCAUACACAAUCUAUGAGAGCAGCAAACACAGUUCUAAGAGGGAAACUUACAGUGAUAAAAGCCUACCUUAGGAAACAAAAUCUCAAACAACCUAACCUUAUGCCUAAAGGAACAAAAAAAGGGGAACAAUACCCAUGGUUAGUAGAAGAAAGAUACAAUAAAGGUCAGCAGAAAUAAAUGAAAUAGAGACCAAAAAACAAUAGAAAUGAUCAGUGAAACUGAAAGCUGGUUCUUUGAAAAGAUAUAAAAUAUUGAUAAACCUUUAGCCAGACUUAUCAUGAAAAAAUAGAGAGGGCCCAAGUAAGUAAAAUCAAUAAUGAAAAAUGAGAAGUAACAACCAACAACACAAAAAUACAAAACAUUAGAGAUUACUGCAGACAAUUAUAUGCCAGUAAAAUGGACAACCUAGAAGAAAUGAAUAAAUUCCUAGAAACACACAAUCUCCCAAGACCGAAUCAGGAAGAAAUACAGAAUUUGAACAGACUGAUUGCUAAUAAUAAAAAUGAGUCUAUAAUCAGUAACUGCCAGCAAACAAAUAUUCAGGACAUCUUCACAGGUGAAUUCUACCAAACAAUUAAAGAAGAGUUAAUGCUUAUUUGUCUCAAGCUAUUCCAUAAAUGUUGAAGAGGAAGGAAUGCUUUUGAACUUAUUCUGUGAGAGCAGCAUCACCUUGAUACUAAAACCAGACAAAGAUACCACAAAAAAAGAAAAUUACAGGCAACUGUAUCUGAUGAAUAGAGAUGCAAAAAUCCUCAACAUAAUAUUAGCAAACUCAAUUUAUCAAUACCUUAAAAAGAUCAUACACCAUGAUCAAGUAAGGUCUAUCUUACAGACUUAAAAAUGGUCCCACACCUGCAUAUCACAGUUUGAUACUCUAUAUUAACGUAUUGCAGAACAAAAAUCAUAGAGUCAUCUCAGUUGAUGCAGAAAAGACUUUUCACAAAAUUCAGUAUCAGUUCAUGAUAAAAAAGCUUAACAAAAUUGGUAUGGAGAGACUGUACCUCAACAUAAGAAAGACUAGGUAUGAGAAACCUGUAGGCAGCAUCAUACUCAACACUGAACAGCUUAAUGUAUUUCCUCUUACAUCAAGAAACAGACAAAGAUGCCCAUUCUUACUACUUUCAUGCAACAUAAUAUUGAAUCAUUGUUGCAUAAAUGCCACAGCAUUCAGACCAAAAAGCAUUCAUGACAAACAAACAAAAGAAUUCAGGCAUCCAAAUUGGAAAGGAAAGAAUAAAACUGUCACCAUUUGCAGAUAACAUGAUAUAUUAUAUAUAGAUUAACCUAAAGAUGCCACCAAAAAACCAAAACUAUUUUAUAUCAGUAAAGUUGCAGGAUAUAAAGUAAAUAUAGGGAAAUAUUAUGUUUUUGUACACUAACAAUUAUCAGAAAGAGAAAUUAAGAAAGUAGUGCCGUUUACAGUCACAUCAAAAAUAAUAAGGAGUUCCUGCUGUGGUGCAGAGAGUUUAAAGUCUGACUACAGCAGCUUGGGUCAUGUUUUUUUUUGAUCCCUGGCCUGGCACAGUGGGUUAAAGCAUCCAGGGUUGCUGCAGCCGUGGCUUGGAUUCAGUCCCUGGCCCAGGAAAUUCCAUAUGCUGUGAGUGCAGCCAU